RNAcentral lists this ribosomal RNA (510 nucleotides) under Physarum utriculare. RNAcentral describes it as "SSU rRNA". It matches the Rfam family "Eukaryotic small subunit ribosomal RNA", at positions 1003 to 1512 of the family's 1831-position model. Lineage: Eukaryota; Evosea; Eumycetozoa; Physariida; Physaraceae. The record is from RNAcentral.
GACGAUCAGAUACCGUCGUAGUCUUAACUAUAAAUGUUGCAAACCAGGGAUAGGACAGUGUCCAUCUCGACUCCUCCUGGACCUUGGAGAAAUUACGAGUCUAUGGGUUCUGGGGGGAGUAUGGUCGCAAGGCUGAAACUUAAAGGAAUUGACGGAAGGGCACGCAAAGAGUGGAACCUGCGGCUUAAUUUGACUCAACACGGGAAAACUCACCAGGUCCGGAUACACGUAUGAAAGUCAAGCUGAAAGACUUUACUCAAUGAUGUAAGUGGUGGUGCAUGGUCGUUCUUAGUUCGUGGAUUGAUUUGUCUGGUCUAUUCCGAUAACGAGCGAGACCCCGACGUUCCUAAUAGGGGUGGCAGCCAGACCGGUCGCAAGGCCGGUUAGCUCGCCGCCUGAAGUUAUACUUCUUAGACGCAUCAGAGCCGAUAAGGUUCUUGAAAUGGGUUAAUAACAGGUCAGUCAUGCCCUUAGAUGUUCUGGGCCGCACGCGCGUUACAAUGGCAUGUA